UACGUAGGGUGCGAGCGUUGUCCGGAAUUAUUGGGCGUAAAGAGCUCGUAGGCGGCCUGUUGCGUCUGCUGUGAAAGCCCGGGGCUUAACCCCGGGUCUGCAGUGGAUACGGGCAGGCUAGAGUCCGGUUGGGGAGACUGGAAUUCCUGGUGUAGCGGUGGAAUGCGCAGAUAUCAGGAGGAACACCGGUGGCGAAGGCGGGUCUCUGGGCCGGUACUGACGCUGAGGAGCGAAAGCGUGGGGAGCGAACAGG
Molecule: ribosomal RNA, 253 nt
Filed under: uncultured bacterium
Lineage: Bacteria
Description: partial 16S ribosomal RNA
Rfam family: Bacterial small subunit ribosomal RNA
Source: RNAcentral